This 292-nucleotide ribosomal RNA is filed under the name uncultured bacterium. RNAcentral's name for it is "partial 16S ribosomal RNA". It matches the Rfam family "Bacterial small subunit ribosomal RNA", at positions 44 to 334 of the family's 1533-position model. The record is from RNAcentral.
GUGCUUAACACAUGCAAGUCGAGUGCGCGGUUGUAGCAAUACAACUGGCGCACGGCGCACGGGUGCGUAACACGUGGGCAAUCUGCCCUCCGAUGGGGAAUAACCCCGCGAAAGCGGGGCUAAUUCCGCAUAACAUUCCCUGGACUCCGGUUCGGGGAUUCAAAGGCGUAAGUCGUCGGAGGAGGAGCCCGCGCCCGAUUAGCUAGUUGGUAGGGUAACGGCCUACCAAGGCAAUGAUCGGUAGCUGGUCUGAGAGGAUGGCCAGCCACACUGGAACUGAGACACGGUCCAG